RNAcentral lists this ribosomal RNA (253 nucleotides) under uncultured bacterium. RNAcentral's name for it is "partial 16S ribosomal RNA". It matches the Rfam family "Bacterial small subunit ribosomal RNA", at positions 524 to 776 of the family's 1533-position model. The record is from RNAcentral.
UACGUAGGGGGCAAGCGUUGUCCGGAAUCAUUGGGCGUAAAGCGCGUGUAGGCGGCUGAGUAAGUCUGCUCUGAAAGCCCGGGGCUCAACCCCGGGAGGCGGGUGGAUACUGCUCAGCUCGAGUCCGGAAGAGGAGUGUGGAAUUCCUGGUGUAGCGGUGAAAUGCGCAGAUAUCAGGAGGAACACCGAUGGCGAAGGCAGCUCGCUGGGACGAUACUGACGCUGAGGCGCGAAAGCGUGGGGAGCAAACAGG